AUGAACGCUGGCGGCGUGCCUAAUACAUGCACGUCGCGCGCACAGACGAGGAGCUUGCUCCUCUGACGUUAGCGGCGGACGGGUGAGUAACACGUGGAUAACCUACCUAUAAGACUGGGAUAACUUCGGGAAACCGGAGCUAAUACCGGAUAAUAUAUUGAACCGCAUGGUUCAAUAGUGAAAGACGGUUUUGCUGUCACUUAUAGAUGGAUCCGCGCCGCAUUAGCUAGUUGGUAAGGUAACGGCUUACCAAGGCAACGAUGCGUAGCCGACCUGAGAGGGUGAUCGGCCACACUGGAACUGAGACACGGUCCAGACUCCUACGGGAGGCAGCAGUAGGGAAUCUUCCGCAAUGGGCGAAAGCCUGACGGAGCAACGCCGCGUGAGUGAUGAAGGUCUUCGGAUCGUAAAACUCUGUUAUUAGGGAAGAACAAAUGUGUAAGUAACUAUGCACGUCUUGACGGUACCUAAUCAGAAAGCCACGGCUAACUACGUG
RNAcentral lists this ribosomal RNA (496 nucleotides) under uncultured bacterium. RNAcentral's name for it is "partial 16S ribosomal RNA". It matches the Rfam family "Bacterial small subunit ribosomal RNA", at positions 29 to 507 of the family's 1533-position model. The record is from RNAcentral.